RNAcentral lists this ribosomal RNA (144 nucleotides) under uncultured eukaryote. Its description in RNAcentral is "partial 18S ribosomal RNA". It matches the Rfam family "Eukaryotic small subunit ribosomal RNA", at positions 1299 to 1458 of the family's 1831-position model. The record is from RNAcentral.
UGGCGGGUUGCCUUGUCAGGUUAAUUCCGUUAACGAACGAGACCUCAGCCUGCUAAAUAGAUAGCCGAAGAGAUUUUCUCUUUUGUGCUAGACUUCUUAGAGGGACAUUCGGUAUCCAACCGAAGGAAGUUUGAGGCAAUAACA